UAAUAGUGUAUACUAAAGUUGUUGCGGUUGAAAAGCUCGUAGUUGGAUCUAGGGCGCUGGUCGAUGGUCCGCCGCAAGGUGUGUACUGUCGAUCGGAGUCUUACCUCUGGUUCUCUGUAGGUGCUCUUAACUGAGUGUCUGCGGUGGCCAGGAAAUUUACUUUGAAAAAAUUAGAGUGUUCAAAGCAGGCUUUUCGCCUGAAUAUUCGUGCAUGGAAUAAUGGAAUAGGACCUCUGUUCUAUUUUGUUGGUUUUUGGAAUGUGAGGUAAUGAUUAAGAGGGACAGACGGGGGCAUCCGUACUCUGCCGUUAGAGGUGAAAUUCUUGGAUCGGCGGAAGACGAACUACUGCGAAAGCAUUUGCCAAGAAUGUUUUCAUUGAUCAAGAACGAAAGUGUGGGGAUCGAAGACGAUCAGAUACCAU
Molecule: ribosomal RNA, 422 nt
Filed under: uncultured eukaryote
Lineage: Eukaryota
Description: bacterial SSU rRNA
Rfam family: Eukaryotic small subunit ribosomal RNA
Source: RNAcentral